UAAAAAAUUAUUUUAUAUUUAUUAUUAUAUAUUAUUAUUACUAUAAAUUUAUUAAAUAAAUCAUGUUGUAGUUUUUAAGAUUAAUUGUAUUAAUUGAUUUAUAUAUAAAAUAUAAAAAUUAUUAAAAAUUAUAGUAAAUUAUAGUUAAUAGAGAAUUCUGAAACAAUGAAUGAAAGUUUUAUUCGGAAAUUAGUUCUAGUAAGGAUAAAUAUGAGUGCCAGCAAUAGCGGUUAAACUCGACUUAUAAAUUAAUUUUUUCUAAUAUUAAUUUAAAUUGUAAUAAAAAUUAUAAUUAAAUUUAUUGAUUUUAGGUGAAAUUUUGAAUUAAUAAUAAUAAUUAUAAAUAAUUUUUUUUGUCAUUAAAAAAUUUAAUAAAAAACUAGGAUUAGAUACCCUACUAUAAAAAGAGUAAAUAAAUAUAUUAAGUUAGUAAAUGUUGAAUCAUUAAAAUUAAACGAUAUGGCGGCUUUUUAUAUCUAGUUAGAGAUGUUUGUCGAUUAAUUUGAUAGUCCACGAUAAGAUCUACUUAAGUUUAAAUUUAUGUAUUGUUGUUUUAACUGGCUUGAAUUUAUUUGGGUUAGAGAAAUUUUAUAUAAUAAUAAUUCAAAUCAAAAUGUAGUAUAUUUAAGAUAUAAGAUGAAUAUCAAUAAAUUUAAUUUUAGAAUUAUUUAUUUUAAUAUAAAUAUGAAAGAGAAUUUAAAAGUAAAUUAAAGUAAUUUCUUUAAUUGAAGAUAGUAUUAAAAAGUGUACAAAUCGCCCGUCAAUUUCAUUAAAAUUGAAAUAAGUCGUAACAUAGUAAGAGUACCGGAAGGUGUUUUUAGAUUAAA
RNAcentral lists this non-coding RNA (827 nucleotides) under Apis mellifera siciliana. The record is from RNAcentral. Lineage: Eukaryota; Metazoa; Arthropoda; Insecta; Hymenoptera; Apidae.